AUAUAUAUAUUAUUUAUUAUGGUUUUAUUAUAGUGAGUUUGAUUGUUAUAU
Molecule: non-coding RNA, 51 nt
Filed under: Trypanosoma brucei brucei
Lineage: Eukaryota; Euglenozoa; Kinetoplastea; Trypanosomatida; Trypanosomatidae
Source: RNAcentral